RNAcentral lists this ribosomal RNA (1131 nucleotides) under Triticum aestivum (bread wheat). RNAcentral's name for it is "partial small subunit ribosomal RNA". The record is from RNAcentral. Lineage: Eukaryota; Viridiplantae; Streptophyta; Magnoliopsida; Poales; Poaceae.
GGACGUAGAGCCUUAGUAGCGCGUCGUAGUCCGCUAAGCUGGAGCGGCAACGGGUCCGCGGCCUCUGCUGCUGCGGCUGCUCUACUGCCACAAGGUGAAGGAGUUGACGCGCCAGGAGUGGAAGCCGGGGGUGCAGCAGAUGAUGAGGCGGUGGGGGGACAGUCUCAUACUGUGCUAACCGUGGUCACAUUUUCGUCGACAACAAAUAGAACCUCGUCGUGAACAUUUCGAACAAACAAAUCGUUGCAAGGAGUUUCAUGGACUACGCUUACUAUCGAAACUAGGGAUGGUCCUUAAUUACUUUUAAGAUUAACCCAAAUAUCUACAACGACCGGAAAUAAAACGAAACUGUGUCAACUGGGUGUCUUUGUAGAGGGUCUUGGUAUUCAAGGUCCGACAACCAGAACCGACCCGAAAACGACUAAGUCAAGACGUGUCCGAACGUGGAGAGACCUAACCCCGUGCUCCCGAACUUAAAUGAACCCUCAUGUAUAAGGUUCCUGAACUUCGUUUACGGUUAGAACACUACUGGGAGAGGGAACGACGUAAUCCUAGGAACUACACCGACUCCUUCUUGUUUGGAUCCUGAAAUUAAGGUUAUUAAAUACGUACACGAGACGAAGACCGUUGUUACGGUAGAUAGUGGUCAAUGAACGCCUCUAGUAACCUCACCGUCUGAGGGUUCCACCAACCGAAGCUCGAGAAGAGGAGGAACCAAUACCGAAAGUAGUCGACCGUCGACAAGAGCCGAACAGUCUCCGGCUACAUUAGUUGCUUUGUUUCGUGACGCCCUAAACGGCCUCUAAACCACGAGGGUUCUACAGAGAACAACAUGAACCCGUUUUAAUCUUACGACGAAUCUCGGAGCCGCGAUGGCAUUGUAUAUAAAACUCCAAGUCAACGUCUUGCAAAAUGAAAUAAACAGCCGGUAUCACGUCUUUGUGUACUAGACUACUCACGAUGACGAUGACAUUGUCCACGAGAACAUCCUUAGCUCGAUUUUGCAUCGUGGAAUAAGGGACAACAUAGUGUAUAAGACGAGUUAUCGUAACGUAGAAGAUCAGACUUCGGUUCUGUAAGUGAAUACGGCUGUCUAAUACUCUUUUAUGUGACAGCAAAGUAGAAACCAUG